RNAcentral lists this ribosomal RNA (272 nucleotides) under Escherichia coli. Its description in RNAcentral is "partial 16S ribosomal RNA". It matches the Rfam family "Bacterial small subunit ribosomal RNA", at positions 1 to 269 of the family's 1533-position model. Lineage: Bacteria; Pseudomonadati; Pseudomonadota; Gammaproteobacteria; Enterobacterales; Enterobacteriaceae. The record is from RNAcentral.
AAAUUGAAGAGUUUGAUCAUGGCUCAGAUUGAACGCUGGCGGCAGGCCUAACACAUGCAAGUCGAACGGUAACAGGAAGAAGCUUGCUUCUUUGCUGACGAGUGGCGGACGGGUGAGUAAUGUCUGGGAAACUGCCUGAUGGAGGGGGAUAACUACUGGAAACGGUAGCUAAUACCGCAUAACGUCGCAAGACCAAAGAGGGGGACCUUUGGGCCUCUUGCCAUCGGAUGUGCCCAGAUGGGAUUAGCUUGUUGGUGGGGUAACGGCUCACC